Molecule: long non-coding RNA, 575 nt
Filed under: Mytilus galloprovincialis (Mediterranean mussel)
Lineage: Eukaryota; Metazoa; Mollusca; Bivalvia; Mytilida; Mytilidae
Source: RNAcentral
GCAAAUCUGACAUGAAGUAAAAUUGAUUAUCAGGUCAAAAUCUAUCUGCCCUGAAAUUUACAGAUGAAUCGGACAACCUGUUGUUGGGUUGCUGCCCCUGAAUUGGUAAUUUUAAGGAAAUUUUGCUGUUUUUGGUUAUUAUCUUGAAUAUUAUUAUAGAUAGAGAUAAACUGUAAACAGCAAUAAUGUUCAGCAAAGUAAGAUUUACAAAUAAGUGAACAUGACUGAAAUGGUCAGUUGACCGCUUUAGGAGUUAUUGCCCUUGAUAGUAAAUUUUUAACCAUUUUUCGUAAAUCUUAGUAAUCUAUUACAAAAAUCUUCUCCUCUGAAACCACUGGGCCAAAUUAAACCAAACUUGGCCACAAUCAUCAUUGGUGUAUCUAGUUUAAAAAAUGUGUGGCUUGACCUGGCCAACCAACCAAGAUGGCCGCCACAGCUAAAAAUAGAACAUAGGGGCAAAAUUCAGUUUUUGGCUUAUAACUCAAAAACCAAAGCAUUUAGAGCAAAUCUGACAGCAGUAAAAUUGAUUAUCAGGUCAAGAUCUAUCUGCCCUGAAAUUUUCAGAUGAAUCGGAC